Molecule: small nuclear RNA, 342 nt
Filed under: Erinaceus europaeus (western European hedgehog)
Lineage: Eukaryota; Metazoa; Chordata; Mammalia; Eulipotyphla; Erinaceidae
Description: 7SK RNA
Rfam family: 7SK RNA
About the family: 7SK was discovered as an abundant small nuclear RNA in the mid-70s but a possible function has only recently been suggested. Two independent studies have found that 7SK RNA binds the CDK9/cyclin T complex (known as elongation factor P-TEFb). P-TEFb activates transcription by phosphorylating the C-terminal domain of RNA polymerase II.
Source: Rfam by way of RNAcentral
UGUUGCUGAGUUUGGUCUGGCUGAGAGUCUGUCACCUCACUGGUCUCCUGGGGGGAGUCAGCUGACUGGACUGGCCAAGCAAGUGUCCACUUCCUCCCCCACUGCUCUGUUUACAUUACUUGUUCCUCCUGAACCUGGGGCCAUGUGCUCAGUUAAAGAGGACAGCCAUUCCUAUAUAGAGACAGACCAGUCUUUCUUUGAGAGUUUCUGGAGAGCUAUGCUCUCCCCUGCUGGAAGUUCCAAACAAGCUCUCUUUGUUAUGUGGCUGGUGGGAGGUGCUCCAUGAACUAGCAGCUGGGUCCACGUUCAAAAAGGCCUCUCAGGUGCUCUCUGUCUAUUGCU